Molecule: non-coding RNA, 26 nt
Filed under: Homo sapiens (human)
Lineage: Eukaryota; Metazoa; Chordata; Mammalia; Primates; Hominidae
Source: RNAcentral
UACUAUUGGUGCUUGGUCUUCUGGAA